Molecule: long non-coding RNA, 265 nt
Filed under: Glycine max (soybean)
Lineage: Eukaryota; Viridiplantae; Streptophyta; Magnoliopsida; Fabales; Fabaceae
Description: long non-coding RNA (GMAX_LNC001559)
Source: RNAcentral
CUGUUUGAUGAUUAUUCUGGAUUUAUAUGGCUUGAUCUUGAAUUAAAUUGAUGAUAUUUAUUUUUAUUUGAGGAUUUUGGUGAAAAUGGUGAUCAUAGACUUAUUUCACAAGCCUAUUAUAUAUGUUUUGACAUGAAUAAUCUUUGUUUGAAAUAAGAAAAUAAUGAACAAUUAAUACAAUCUUAUUAGGGAUAUCAUUCUUAUUCUUGUCACUUGCUUUUCCCACAAAUAGUACAUUCAGCAAGCUUUUCAUACUCUUUUCCAC